GUGAGUAACACGUGAGCAACCUACCCUCAACUUCGGGAUAAGCCUCGGAAACGGGGUCUAAUACCGGAUAUCACUUCCUGCUUCAUGGUGGGGGGUUGAAAGUUCUGGCGGUUGGGGAUGGGCUCGCGGCCUAUCAGCUUGUUGGUGGGGUAAUGGCCUACCAAGGCGUCGACGGGUAGCCGGCCUGAGAGGGCGACCGGCCACACUGGGACUGAGACACGGCCCAGACUCCUACGGGAGGCAGCAGUGGGGAAUAUUGCGCAAUGGACGAAAGUCUGACGCAGCAACGCCGCGUGAGGGAUGACGGCCUUCGGGUUGUAAACCUCUUUCAGCAGGGACGAAGCGAGAGUGACGGUACCUGCAGAAGAAGGACCGGCCAACUACGUGCCAGCAGCCGCGGUAAUACGUAGGGUCCGAGCGUUGUCCGGAAUUAUUGGGCGUAAAGGGCUCGUAGGCGGUUCGUCACGUCGGGAGUGAAAACUCGGAGCUUAACUCCGAGCCUGCUUCCGAUACGGGCAGACUAGAGGUAGGCAGGGGAGAGCGGAACUCCUGGUGUAGCGGUGGAAUGCGCAGAUAUCAGGAAGAACACCGGUGGCGAAGGCGGCUCUCUGGGCCUUACCUGACGCUGAGGAGCGAAAGCGUGGGUAGCGAACAGGAUUAGAUACCCUGGUAGUCCACGCCGUAAACGUUGGGCGCUAGGUGUG
Molecule: ribosomal RNA, 704 nt
Filed under: Kribbella sp.
Lineage: Bacteria; Bacillati; Actinomycetota; Actinomycetes; Propionibacteriales; Kribbellaceae
Description: bacterial SSU rRNA
Rfam family: Bacterial small subunit ribosomal RNA
Source: RNAcentral